RNAcentral lists this unclassified non-coding RNA (240 nucleotides) under soil metagenome. RNAcentral's name for it is "partial contains 5.8S ribosomal RNA, internal transcribed spacer 2, and large subunit ribosomal RNA". The record is from RNAcentral.
AACGAGGCCGACCUGCGGCUGAGUUACCUGCGGAGGGAUCAUUACCAGUACCACCGUCGCCUCCGGGCGUCGGUCUACUACCAACCCUUUGUCAUCCGACCUCGUUGCCUCCGGGUGCGACCCUGACCUUCGGGUCUCGCGUCUCCCCGGGUGGACACACAUCAAAACUCUGCAUAACUUUGUAGUCUGAGUAAAACUUUUAAUUAAAUUAAAACUUUCAACAACGGAUCUCAGAUCGGA